This 301-nucleotide ribosomal RNA is filed under the name uncultured bacterium. RNAcentral's name for it is "partial 16S ribosomal RNA". It matches the Rfam family "Bacterial small subunit ribosomal RNA", at positions 509 to 807 of the family's 1533-position model. The record is from RNAcentral.
CAGCCGCCACGGGAAUACGUAGGGUGCAAGCGUUGUUCGGAAUUAUUGGGCGUAAAGGGUGCGUAGGCGGCUUGACAAGUCUUGUGUGAAAUCUAUGGGCUCAACCCAUAGUCUGCACGGGAAACUGUCGGGCUUGAGAAUGGGAGAGGUGAGUGGAAUUUCCGGUGUAGCGGUGAAAUGCGUAGAUAUCGGAAGGAACACCUGUGGCGAAAGCGGCUCACUGGACAUUUACUGACGCUGAUGCACGAAAGCUAGGGGAGCAAACAGGAUUAGAUACCCGCGUAGUCCCUGUCUCUUAUAC